AUUGAACGCUGGCGGCAGGCCUAACACAUGCAAGUCGAGCGGAUGAAGGGAGCUUGCGCCUGGAUUCAGCGUCGGACGCGUGAGUAAUGCCUAGGAAUCUGCCUGGUAGUGGGGUAUAACGUCUGGAAACGGGCGCUAAUACCGCCUACUACCUGAGGGAGCAACAGGGGGAGCUUCGGACAUCACGCUCGCAGAUGAGUCUAGGUCGGAUUGGGUAGGUGGUGGGGUGAAGGCCGACCAAGGCGACGAUCCGUAACUAGUCUGAUAGGAUGAUCAGCCACACUGGGAGUGAGACACGCUCCAGAGUCCUGCGGAAGGGAGCAGUGGGGAAUAGUGGAGAAUGGGCGGAAGCCUGAUCCAGACAUGCCGAGUGUGGAAAGAAGGUCGUCGGAUGGUGAAGCACGUUAAGUUGGGAGGAAGGGGAGUUAGUUAGUACCGUGCUGUGUUGACGUUACAUAGAGAAUGAGCACCGGCUAACUUCGUG
Molecule: ribosomal RNA, 484 nt
Filed under: uncultured bacterium
Lineage: Bacteria
Description: partial 16S ribosomal RNA
Rfam family: Bacterial small subunit ribosomal RNA
Source: RNAcentral